CAUGAAAUGAAAAUAUAAAAUACAUGAUAUGCAGAAAGGCAAUCAGUGCUUCAGUCCGUUGAGAAGACAGUAAACAGGCAAUAUGACCCAUAAAACUUCAAUUCACUGUUUUUUCUUUUUUUAACAUAGAAUACAUAAAAUUCAAGCAAUGUUGGUUUAUACUCUUGUAAACGUGUUAUAAUAAAAAGGAAAAUAAAGUAAUCUAUACUACAAAAGUUCACUUAAACUAUAUAAGACAAAAUAUCCAUAAACAGGGAAAAAAUAAAAAUCAGUGUUUACUUUGGUCUCUAUUGUGGUUAUUACUAUAAUUAUUGCCAAAAGCAAACAAAAGGUAGUUAACAGCUGCGUGUUAAACCGUUUGUUGCUUACAGUAAUAAUUCAAGAGGUAGCCUGUACUGGUCUAAUAAAGCUGGUGGCUUGCUGCUCAUACUAUACUAUGGAUUCAUCAAGAGCAUUACAUUGCAUGCCAGAGGUUCAGAGGGUUACAUCACUGAGAAGAGAAGCCUAUCUCACCUUUAUUCUUACUUCAUUGGAAAUAAGUUAUUAUGGUGCAAGGAGGUUAUUGGUGCCAGCUUACCGCUCAGAUUUUUCAAAUGGGAAGCAUCUGACUGCCUCUGACAGGGGUGUUGCUGACUGGCUUAGAGCAUCAACAUGCUGCUCUAAGCUAAUCAUUGGCUCCCUAUUAAAAAAAAAAAAAAAAA
Molecule: non-coding RNA, 701 nt
Organism: Pelobates cultripes (western spadefoot toad)
Lineage: Eukaryota; Metazoa; Chordata; Amphibia; Anura; Pelobatidae
Source: the annotation of a GenBank genome assembly